Molecule: long non-coding RNA, 383 nt
Organism: Solanum lycopersicum (tomato)
Lineage: Eukaryota; Viridiplantae; Streptophyta; Magnoliopsida; Solanales; Solanaceae
Source: RefSeq, a predicted model, not a curated record
AUUUUAGAAAAAAAUGGUGUCCAUCACAAAGCAUUUGAUUUUUUUCACUUUACUUGUUUUUGUCAUCUUUCCUGCUCAUAAAUGUGAUGAAGUAUUUGAUAAAUUGAGUAUCAAAUAUGGGAGAAAAGAUGGGAUACUUAUUAAUCUUGGCAAGUGUUUCCAAUUCACAAUUAACCAAUGGUGUUGUGAUUCAACUACACCAGUAAAGUGUUAUGAUUCAAUGGAGCAUUGUAAACAAAAUUGUCCACCAUGGACUACUAAUCAUAAUUAGGAUUAAUUAAUUAACAAAUCCUCUUCUAAUUAGAGUUUUUGUUAAACAUCUUAUGAAGUUUCAUAUAUGAAAUAAAUAAGUUCUUAGAGUUAUCGCAUAAUGUCUUUUUUUA